This is a microRNA precursor of Brassica oleracea var. oleracea, 124 nucleotides long. It matches the Rfam family "MIR9563 microRNA precursor family". The record is from Rfam. NCBI's taxonomy places the organism in Eukaryota, Viridiplantae, Streptophyta, Magnoliopsida, Brassicales, Brassicaceae.
GGAAGUUAAGAAACGGUUUCUUGACUUUUAAUUAAAAAACUAAAAACCAAUUCUUAAAGUCUUUAUUUAAGAACUGGUUUUUAGUUUUUUUAGUUAAAAAUUAAGAAACAAUUUUUUAACUUCC